UAGGGAAUCUUCCGCAAUGGACGCAAGUCUGACGGAGCAACGCCGCGUGAGUGAAGAAGGAUUUCGGUUCGUAAAACUCUGUUGUUAGAGAAGAACAGCGCAUAGAGUAACUGUUAUGCGUGUGACGGUAUCUAACCAGAAAGCCACGGCUAACUACGUACCAGCAGCCGCGGUAAUACGUAGGUGGCAAGCGUUGUCCGGAUUUAUUGGGCGUAAAGCGAGCGCAGGCGGUCAAUUAAGUCUGAUGUGAAAGCCCCCGGCUCAACCGGGGAGGGUCAUUGGAAACUGGUUGACUUGAGUGCAGAAGAGGAGAGUGGAAUUCCAUGUGUAGCGGUGAAAUGCGUAGAUAUAUGGAGGAACACCAGUGGCGAAGGCGACUCUCUGGUCUGUAACUGACGCUGAGGCUCGAAAGCGUGGGUAGCAAACAGG
RNAcentral lists this ribosomal RNA (429 nucleotides) under Bacteroidota bacterium. RNAcentral describes it as "Bacteroidetes bacterium partial 16S ribosomal RNA". It matches the Rfam family "Bacterial small subunit ribosomal RNA", at positions 355 to 776 of the family's 1533-position model. The record is from RNAcentral. Lineage: Bacteria; Pseudomonadati; Bacteroidota.